Molecule: long non-coding RNA, 1181 nt
Organism: Crotalus tigris (Tiger rattlesnake)
Lineage: Eukaryota; Metazoa; Chordata; Lepidosauria; Squamata; Viperidae
Exons: 3
Source: RefSeq, a predicted model, not a curated record
UCCUUUGCUGUGAUAAAGAAUUAUAAUAGUGCUAUGAACAGUACCUAAACGAUUACAAACCAUCCCAACCUAUGAACAUUUUUGUUGUGACUUUAAUUAAACGUUAUUUCUCUCUUUUUCAAAUUUAAUGAAAAAAAUCCAGCUGAGGUGAGGCAGAUUUUCCAUCAGCCAUUUGUAAAAAAACAAAAAACAAAAACAAACUCUGGUGCCCAGUCUAGCUAGUAGCAACAGGUGCCUCCCUUGUUGAUCUCCUCUGUUCCAGUAAUGAAGGCCAGCAGACCCAUUCAGUCAAGUGACAUGCAGGGAAGAGAGGAGGAAGAACACCCGUUUGUUUAUUGAUGCAACUGCCAGAGUUGUCAAAGAUAGUAGAUACUGCAAGGGCAUGAAAGAGGGAAGCGGCUAAGUUGUCUGUAUCGAUUCAGAGAGCAAGAACAAGGAUUUCAAUGCCAAGGGCGAAAAAAGAUAAUCGUUUUGUCUCCUACCCAGCCCUUCUAGCUCUGCUGAGGGAAAUUAACAGCCUAGUCAGUAUGAAGACAGAAGGAUAAUAAGUCAUUCCUGAGAAUUUGAGAAGAAGGAAUAUUAUUUUGGGCUGAUUCUGUGGAGUAGAGGUGAUGAAUUCAUGCAGGGGAAGACACAAAGAAAGGGAGAAAGGAAGUAAUAAAUCAGCAUCCUCAGUAAUCAUGCCUCGAAGAAGAAAGAUUACAGUCCUUGUAUCUUCACUAACUGGAGAAGAGCCUAAUGCUGGGAAAGAUUGAGGGCAACAGAAGAAGGGGACGACAGAGAAUGAGAUGGCUGGAUGGAGUCACUGAAGCAGUAGGAGUGAACUUAAAUGGACUCCAGAAGAUGGUAGAGGACAGGAAGACCUGGAGGAACGUUGUCCAUGAGGUCAUGAUGGGUCGGACACGACUUCAUAACUAACAACAACAAUAACAUCUUCACUAAUGCCAUUUGAACAGCACUUUCUGAAGGGAAGAGAUUUUAAUAACAUGGGACAAUCAACCUUUUGGGGGAUGGCAUUAAUCUGAUUUUUAAAAUGUCACACAGAAGUGUGUACUCAAAUUUCUAUUUGUAAAUAUGCUUCCACACACAAUGUGUCUCUAAAUGUGUUGGUCAUAAAACACAUCAGAACUUUCGAAAAAUUGAAAGCGGGUCCAUAAUAAACUCCAUGUGUUGGUGCAGGA